Molecule: long non-coding RNA, 1137 nt
Filed under: Manacus vitellinus (golden-collared manakin)
Lineage: Eukaryota; Metazoa; Chordata; Aves; Passeriformes; Pipridae
Description: lncRNA (ENSMVIG00005018219.1)
Source: RNAcentral
AUGACUCAUUAGAGUCUAAGAUUCAUGCUAAUACUAAAGGAUUUUUAUUGCAGACUACCCAAGAUGCGAACAGUUAUCAUGUGCAAAUGGAGCAUGUUUUAAUGCAAGCCAGCGAUGUGAUGGCAAAGUUGAUUGCAGAGAUUCUUCUGAUGAAGCUAAUUGCAGUAAGUACCGUGUGCAGAGUGAUCCCAAACAAAUAUGCUUUAUAGACCUCCUUUUAGAGUUAAAGACUGUAGUUUUCUGACAGAUUUUCUUUAUGUCUUUUUGUGCUAAAAUGUCUUUCAGCCCAUGGCUGUACCAGCACGCAGUUUCAGUGUGCUAAUGGAGAAUGCAUCCCUCGAGCCUUCAUCUGUGACCAUGAUGAUGACUGUGGAGACAGGAGUGAUGAAAACUCUUGCACUUAUGCAACUUGCAGAGGCAACUUCUUCACUUGCCCGAGUGGCCGCUGCAUUCAUCAGAGCUGGAUAUGCGAUGGAGAUGAUGACUGUGAAGAUAAUGAAGAUGAAAGAGGAUGUGAAAGUGGUCGCCAUGAGUGCUACCCAGGAGAGUGGGCUUGCCCUGGGUCAGGGCAUUGCAUUCCAAUUGGAAAAGUGUGUGAUGGGACUGCAGACUGCCCAGAAGGAGAGGAUGAAACUAACAUCACCGCAGGCAGACAUUGCAGUAUGUGUUAGAAUCAAAAACAUACACAGAACUGCAGAAACACCAGCAUUGAUAUCUUUUUAUAUUCACCUUUUGUCUCCUAAAGAAUACUGAAAUUUUGGAAGCUUGCUAUUUUCAUUGACACUGUUCUGAUUGGAUGAUCUGAAAGAGGCAUAUAUGCUGCAAAAAACCCCAUUCCUUUUGUAAAACAAAAUUUCACAAAUAAGGAUUUUAACUCACUCUCCAUAUCCUAAAAUAUGUUCACAAAGACAGAGAAAGGUGUGCUAUAUGCCUUUUUUGUUUAAAUAUCUGUGGUUUUCCCUUUGUGUAAGUGAGAAGGAAUGUUUUGUACUGAUCAGAACACAGGAUUGAAUCAGUGUAUCCUGAGCUUUGGCUAAUUCACUUUAAAGAUUAGAGUUUUCAAAAAUAUCUUCACCUGGGAUGCCUGUUUCUCCAGUUGGUGGUACACUGGGUUUUUCUCUGUUGGAGGCAAUGAGC